GGCAGGGGCUCAUAUCCUAUUAAUUAACUAAAGUUAACAGAUGAAGGAAAAUGAAGGUCACUAGCAACUUGGUUGAUCACAUGUGCAUUGCUUUAGCAACGCUGCAGGCUGCCUUCAAGAAUCCGUGGUUGAUUCUGCUACCAAGGGAAAUCGGUAUAUAAAUUCAUGUCUCAGAUAUUAUUGAAGGCUUUGAUCGCCUUCUCUUACCAUUUAAUAGAUACCAGAAAAAGGAAAUGGCUUUGAAUAUGGUGGGAUCACUCAAACUUUUUAUGCAUAAUAUGAUAUGAACAUGUCUGCAAUAACCGUGAUUAAAGAAUUGUGGUUUCUGCAAUAAUCAUUUCUUGUUCUUAAUAUAAUUUGAUCCCCGACAUCAAUCGGACUAUCUAACAUGCCGUUUGUUUUCUCAGUAUCUUUAUUUCCUACUAACAAGUAAUGCAUGUCAUCUAGAAAAGUAUUCUUGCACUCUGUACGUGUAAUUCAGAGAGAUGUUUGCUAUUAACGUGUGGCGCACAUCCUUGCGAUGACUGGCCACAUGACUACUUUCUCAAGUGGAAGUUUUUAACUUCGUUUUCUUCUGAGCAAAUCUGCCGAUGCAGCACUGAUAGAAUACUAUCUCAGUAACUUUGAGUCUUAGUAUCUGUUGGGUGCUUUCUUAGUUUAGGAUGGAGAGGAUUUAAACUUAGGCAACUUUUUCUCUUUUUGUUGGGAGAUACCCCCCCAUGUUUGCUUUUGCUGCAUAAGAAAACAUUGAUUUUCCUUUUUUGGCAGGUUGAAUGAAGAAAUGAAGGGCAUAGACAGUCUAGCAUUGCAGCUGUAUCCUUAACAUUUGUUUCAUUAUAUCCUAUGUGCAUGUCUUGCAUAGCUUAUGCUUUGGCCUUCCAUUGUGCCAAUUACUUAUGCUGAAAUCAAGGAUUCAUCCUACUGUCUGCUGAUAUGAAGGCAUCUGGAUGCUCAGUCUAGUAUCAAGUGGCUGCCAGUUGAGAAAAAUUGCUAAACGCAGUUUAGUAUUUAGAAUUCCCAUCAACUGCAAUUCCUGAGAGUUGUUUGCUUUUGUGAUGUCAGUAUUGUUUCGGAUUCCUUAAGCGUCCAGAAAAAUCUUGAGAAGAAAUGUUGAUGCUCUAGACUCGAGAGUUAACAAGCUCCUCCAUCUUGCAUGAUGUCGACCUGCUGACCUCCCGGACUUAUUAUUACAUCAGUUAUCAAUGCGGGAGCUUCUCUUCCAACUUCUCUGCUUACCUAUGAUUGUUUUGCUUGGCAGUUAUUGUCAUUGUCGGUGUCUUUGUUAGGUAAUUAAUGGGUGAACUAGUUGUCCUGUAUGCAUCUAAGUUCGUCAAAUUCAUCGAUACCUAAAUGUUUGAGCUUCUUAAAUCCUCCAACUCCAAAACAUACUCUCCUUCAAACACCUGAGAUAACUCACGAUGUACUAGAUUGGGCAAAUACUGAAGGAAUACAAGUGGAUCAUCCUUUAACCUACUCCA
Molecule: long non-coding RNA, 1478 nt
Organism: Prunus persica (peach)
Lineage: Eukaryota; Viridiplantae; Streptophyta; Magnoliopsida; Rosales; Rosaceae
Exons: 2
Source: RefSeq, a predicted model, not a curated record